This 468-nucleotide ribosomal RNA is filed under the name uncultured bacterium. RNAcentral describes it as "partial 16S ribosomal RNA". It matches the Rfam family "Bacterial small subunit ribosomal RNA", at positions 28 to 507 of the family's 1533-position model. The record is from RNAcentral.
GACGAACGCUGGCGGCGUGCUUAACACAUGCAAGUCGAACGGAAAGGCCCUGCUUUUGUGGGGUGCUCGAGUGGCGAACGGGUGAGUAACACGUGAGUAACCUGCCCUUGACUUUGGGAUAACUUCAGGAAACUGGGGCUAAUACCGGAUAGGAGCUCCUGCUGCAUGGUGGGGGUUGGAAAGUUUCGGCGGUUGGGGAUGGACUCGCGGCUUAUCAGCUUGUUGGUGGGGUAGUGGCUUACCAAGGCUUUGACGGGUAGCCGGCCUGAGAGGGUGACCGGCAACAUUGGGAAUGAGAAACGGCCCAGACUCAUACGGGAGGCAGAAGUGGGGAAUAUUGCACAAUGAGCGGAAGCCUGAUGCAGCAACGCCGCGUGCGGGAUGACGGCCUUCGGGUUGUAAACCGCUUUAGCCUGUGACGAAGAGUGAGUGACGGUAAUGGGUAAAGAAGCACCGGAUAACUACGUG